Molecule: ribosomal RNA, 393 nt
Filed under: uncultured bacterium
Lineage: Bacteria
Description: partial 16S ribosomal RNA
Rfam family: Bacterial small subunit ribosomal RNA
Source: RNAcentral
AUACGGAGGAUGCGAGCGUUAUCCGGAUUUAUUGGGUUUAAAGGGUGCGUAGGCGGGCUGUUAAGCGUGAGGUGAAAGCUCGGGGCUCAACCCCGGAACUGCCUCGCGAACUGGCGGUCUUGAAUGUCCGUGCCGGGGGAGGGAUGUGGGGUGUAGCGGGGGAAUGCAUAGAGAUCACACAGAACACCGAUUGCGAAGGCAUCUCACGAACGGAUGAUUGACGCUGAGGCACGAAAGCGUGGGGAUCAAACAGGAUUAGAUACCCUGGUAGUCCACGCAGUAAACGAUGAUAACUAACCGCUGGUGCGCAAGUAUCAGUGGACAAGCGAAAGCGAUAAGUAAUCCACCUGGGGAGUACGACCGCAAGGUUGAAACUCAAAGGAAUUGACGGGG